UACGUAGGGGGCAAGCGUUGUCCGGAUUUAUUGGGCGUAAAGAGCUCGUAGGCGGCUUGUCGCGUCGACUGUGAAAACCCGCGGCUCAACUGCGGGCCUGCAGCCGAUACGGGCAGGCUAGAGUGCGGAAGGGGCUACUGGAAUUCUCGGUGUAGCGGUGAAAUGCGUAGAUAUCGAGAGGAACACCUGCGGCGAAGGCGGGUAGCUGGGCCGACACUGACGCUGAGGCGCGAAAGCCAGGGGAGCGAACGGG
Molecule: ribosomal RNA, 253 nt
Filed under: uncultured bacterium
Lineage: Bacteria
Description: partial 16S ribosomal RNA
Rfam family: Bacterial small subunit ribosomal RNA
Source: RNAcentral